CCCCCCUGACCCCCAUUUUUUCCCCCCCCGUAGCCCUCGCUGGGCCCCGUCACCCUCCACGGCUCCCUCCUGCUCCAGCACCUCCUGCAUUUCGGGGACCCGGGGCCGGUUCUGGGGGGGUUGGAGGCUUUGCCCCCCCAGGCCCUGGUGGCCUUGGCUCGUAGCCCCCCAGGGAGCCGGGUCUGGGAUGCCCUCCUGGCCUCCCCCACCGUGCCCCCCCGCGCCCGCCGGCGCCUCCUCCGCAAGCUCAAGGGUCACUUCCUGUCCCUGGCCUGUCACCGCAACGGCAGCCGCGUCCUCGACGCCGUCUGGGCCUCGGCCUCCGCCCCGGCCCGCGCCGCCAUCGCCGAGGAGCUGGGUGAGUAUUUUUGGGGGCAAAAAAAGGGGGGGAAACGCCCCCAAAUUUAGGGGAUCCCCCCCCAUAACGUUCCCCCUUCCCCCCUGCCCCACAGCCCCCCAGCACCAGGCCCUACGGAGAGACCCCCACGGCCGGGGGGUGGCCCGGACCAUGGACCUCGACCUCUUCUUGCGCCGGCGACGGGUUUGGGAGAGGCUGCAGGAGACCCAGGGGGGAAAACGUGGCCUCUUGGGACCCCUCCUGGGGGAUUGAGAGACGCCCCCCAACCUUCCCGGGCACAGGGGGGGCGCGAGGAGGGGAGCCCCUGGGGAGAGGCGCCCCUCUGGAGGACUUUAGGGCACAGAGAGGAGGGAUGGAGAGACAGAGCGGCUCCUUGGAGGGAUAGAAAACCAUCUUG
Molecule: long non-coding RNA, 755 nt
Filed under: Calidris pygmaea (Spoon-billed sandpiper)
Lineage: Eukaryota; Metazoa; Chordata; Aves; Charadriiformes; Scolopacidae
Description: lncRNA (ENSCPGG00000016157.1)
Source: RNAcentral